UGUUAAAAAUUUUAUCCAUUUAUAUAGUUAAAACCUGGCAUAGUUGAUGGAAUAACCAAAAAGUGACAUGUGAUGUGCCACGUGUACCUCAAACCGACGUACAAGAACUAAUUUUUAAUAGUAGAAAUAAAUAUAAAUUUGAUA
Gossypium arboreum is the source of this 144-nucleotide microRNA precursor. It matches the Rfam family "MIR7502 microRNA precursor family". NCBI's taxonomy places the organism in Eukaryota, Viridiplantae, Streptophyta, Magnoliopsida, Malvales, Malvaceae. The record is from Rfam.